Molecule: ribosomal RNA, 501 nt
Filed under: uncultured Acidobacteriota bacterium
Lineage: Bacteria; Pseudomonadati; Acidobacteriota
Description: bacterial SSU rRNA
Rfam family: Bacterial small subunit ribosomal RNA
Source: RNAcentral
GAUUUGGGGGUGCCGCAAGGAACCUAGAGACAGGUGCUGCAUGGCUGUCGUCAGCUCGUGUCGUGAGAUGUUGGGUUAAGUCCCGCAACGAGCGCAACCCUUGUCCUUAGUUGCCAGCAUUAAGUUGGGCACUCUAAGGAGACCGCCGGUGACAAACCGGAGGAAGGUGGGGAUGACGUCAAGUCAUCAUGGUCUUUACGUCUAGGGCUACACACGUGCUACAAUGGUCGGUACAGAGGGUUGCGAGCUAGCGAUAGUAAGCCAAUCCCCGAAAGCCGACCUCAGUUCGGAUUGCAGGCUGCAACUCGCCUGCAUGAAGCUGGAAUCGCUAGUAAUGGCGUAUCAGAAUGACGCCGUGAAUACGUUCCCGGGCCUUGUACACACCGCCCGUCACAUCACGAAAGUGGAUUGUACUAGAAGUCUGUGCGCUAACCCGCAAGGGAGGCAGCGGCCCAAGGUAUGAUUCAUGAUUGGGGUGAAGUCGUAACAAGGUAGCCGUAA